UGGGUUGUGGUUCAGUGGUAGAGCACUUGCCUGGCAUGCAUGAGGCUCUGGGUUCAAUCCUUAGCACCACAU
Molecule: transfer RNA, 72 nt
Filed under: Ictidomys tridecemlineatus (thirteen-lined ground squirrel)
Lineage: Eukaryota; Metazoa; Chordata; Mammalia; Rodentia; Sciuridae
Description: Spermophilus tridecemlineatus (thirteen-lined ground squirrel) tRNA
Rfam family: tRNA
About the family: Transfer RNA (tRNA) molecules are approximately 80 nucleotides in length.
Source: Rfam by way of RNAcentral